RNAcentral lists this ribosomal RNA (656 nucleotides) under Dryadella yupanki. RNAcentral's name for it is "eukaryotic LSU rRNA". The stretch from base 132 to 287 matches the Rfam family "5.8S ribosomal RNA". Lineage: Eukaryota; Viridiplantae; Streptophyta; Magnoliopsida; Asparagales; Orchidaceae. The record is from RNAcentral.
AAUGGGGCCACGAUGAGGGGCGGAUGAAACUAAAACCGGCGCAGCUACGCGCCAAGGGAAUAACAAAUAGACACGAGCCCACAUCGGGUUCGUUGGCGUGGAGUGCUGUUGCACACCACACGGAUCAAAAUGACUCUCGGCAAUGGAUAUCUCGGCUCUCGCAUCGAUGAAGAGCGCAGCGAAAUGCGAUACGUGGUGCGAAUUGCAGAAUCCCGCGAACCAUCGAGAAUUUGAACGCAAGUUGCGCCUGAGGCCAGCCGGCCAAGGGCACGUCCGCCUGGGCGUCAAGCGUUACAUCGCUCCGUGCCAGCUUCAUCCCACCCAACAGGUGUGCAUGCGGGAGGCUCGGAUGUGUAGAGUGGCUCAUCGUGCCUGCGGGCGCGGCGGGCUUAAGAGCGGGUGAUCGUCUCGUUGGCAACGAACAACAAGGGGUGGAUGAAAAUUGUGCCUGUGUUGUAUCGUGCUGGCGUGACAGGAGAUUAUACCUAGCGGAAGAUCCCAGCCCAAGCGUCAAUCCACGGACGACGGCUUGGAAUGCGACCCCAGGAUGGGCGAGACCACCCGCUGAGUUUAAGCAUAUCAAUAAGCGGAGGAGAAGAAACUUACGAGGAUUCCCCUAGUAACGGCGAGCGAACCGGGGAAUUCUAAAGACGUGC